Molecule: transfer-messenger RNA, 390 nt
Filed under: Patescibacteria group
Lineage: Bacteria
Also listed under: 1 other name
Description: CAILAD01 sp013816445 Standard tmRNA
Rfam family: transfer-messenger RNA
About the family: Bacterial tmRNA, also known as 10Sa RNA or SsrA, is named for its dual tRNA and mRNA-like properties. Its role is to liberate the mRNA from a stalled ribosome. To accomplish this part of the tmRNA is used as a reading frame that ends in a translation stop signal.
Source: RNAcentral
GGGGCUGACUAGCUUCGACAUGAGGACCUUAAAAUAUAUUUGCAAGCCGGUUUGGAAUACACGUUAGCUGUUCCAACACCUUAAGUGAAAAUACACUUAUUAGUAAGUUAAGAAGCGCGUUUACGUUGCCUACACUUGCACCAGCAUACGCUUAAUUGAGUAUGCCGUCUCACUUUUUGAUACCAGGUAGAAAAGUAGGCGCCAAUUAUCUGGUUGCUACAUAGUUGUUUGUAAGCCGACUACGUUUAAGACUACAGUUUACUGAAGCGAUCUAUCUGUUUGUUGGUUAGUAGGAUAGGUAGCUUUUAAAACAAAUUCAGAUCAACUACGCUUGUAGACGAUAUAUUUAAAGCCUUGUGGACGAGGGUGCGAUUCCCUCCAGCUCCACCA